Non-coding RNA from Danionella cerebrum, 72 nucleotides. NCBI's taxonomy places the organism in Eukaryota, Metazoa, Chordata, Actinopteri, Cypriniformes, Danionidae. The record is from the annotation of a GenBank genome assembly.
GGCUUGUUGGUGUAAGGGUAUGAUUCUCACUGUUAGUGCCAGAGGACCCGGAUUCAAAUCCCGGAUGAGCCC